AAAAGCUGCUCCUUGAAGUGAUGGGAUGAGUCAUCAAAAACAAGGUAAAUUAUAUUUACGUUCUCUUUUAAUGAAAUUAUAGUGUAAAAUGCAUUGCUGAUCGAUACCACUAAAAGAAUUAAUGUUUCUUGUGAAAACUUAGUGUUUAAUAGUGGAUUGCUUAAAAUUUCAGAGACAUAUUUUGUUAACUAUAAUGUCCACAUAAUUAUACCCACCUUGUGGGGGUUGUGGUAGGUUGUAAAUAAGGUAAUAACAUAAAUGUGCCUCAUACCUGGCUUGGCACAUAAAAUGUUAGCUAGUUAAUUUCUGCUUUAAAAGCAUUUUGCCUUAUUUAUUUAGAAAAUUCGUUUCUGGGGUAGCCGGGGUGGCUCAGCGGUUUAGCGCUGCCUUCAGCCCAGGGCCUGAUCCUCAGGAUCCCUGCAUGGAGCCUGCUUCUCCCUCUGCCUGUGUCUCUGCUUCUCUCUCUCUCUCUCUCUCUCUCUCUCUGCAUCUCUCAUGAGUAAAUAAAUAAAAUCUUAAAAAAAAAAGAAAAAGAAAAUUCAUUUCUCAUCAAUUUACCACAGUGAAAGUUAAAUUAUUAGUUAUUUCUUUUUUCAUUCUUUUUUGUUAAACCACCAGAUUGUUAAAUGAAAAGGAUUAACAUAUGUUUUAGUCUGUUAUACAGUAAGUUGUUACCUUAUCAUAGAGGUUCUCUGAAAAUUCACAAUUCUUUUUAGAAUUGAAGAACACCACAUGGUACUAACAUGGAGCAAGACCCAUUUCUUUUUCAUGAAUACAAGAUCUGGAGACCUCCAACAUGAGCGAAACUUCAUUCACAUUAUGACUCAGUCCUUCAUUGAAGGCAAUCUUUUCCUUUUUGAAAUUAAAAAUUUAUUUCCACUUUCAUUAUAUUCUUUCAAUCCCACUCCAAAGCAGUGUUGCCGAAGCACAUAUUUAUUUUGCACAUUGCUUUCUUAUCCACAUCAUGUCUCUGCAAUCUCUUUCACACCAAAGGAACAUGGAGUAUUUGUCUAAACUUACCAAUGGCUCAAUUCCAUCAUUGUGUUCUGGUGAAGAUGAGGCAAGAGAACUUGUUAUCCUGGUAGUUAAAGAGAGUUCAAGCAACACAACUCUGCAAAUGUCUAAUCUCUCAGCUCAGGCAACUGAUGAGUAGUAUCUGACCCUGCCUGAGUUCCAGGCUCUCUGAGCAGAAGGCUGAUUCACAGAUCCUUGGCAACCCAUCUCCUUCCUGCAUGACCUAUACCCCCAGUACUCACUUGUACACCUCUUUCUGAGCAUUAUGUACUAUUUUGAAAUAUGCCUUUUCCUUACAUCUACUCAUCAAAUCUUACCUGACUUGUGUCUCAUUAUUUUUAAAUAUUAUCAAGAGAAGAUCAAAUAACUAAUUGUUCAAUCUUCUUUUCAGUUUGGGCAUAAGAGUAAAUUAGGACAAUCAGUCAAAUGGGUAAAAGCCAGCCUUGUGCAUGAGGAUUAGGACAGAUCUUUGUAGAAAGGACUUGAAAUGUUCAGAAGCAAAGAGAAAUAGAGAACCAAA
Molecule: long non-coding RNA, 1534 nt
Filed under: Vulpes vulpes (red fox)
Lineage: Eukaryota; Metazoa; Chordata; Mammalia; Carnivora; Canidae
Description: lncRNA (ENSVVUG00000027361.1)
Source: RNAcentral